Molecule: unclassified non-coding RNA, 305 nt
Filed under: Hevea brasiliensis (rubber tree)
Lineage: Eukaryota; Viridiplantae; Streptophyta; Magnoliopsida; Malpighiales; Euphorbiaceae
Source: RNAcentral
CCGAAUCUUAGAUCCAUGGUGAACCAAGUUGGAUCUAGGAAAGAAAAAUCCCUUCUGCCUCUUCUCUAUUUUGAUUCUACAUUAAUUUUUGUAUCAAUUAAAGCCUGGAUUAUUUUACAAUUAACAAUACUUUUUGUCUUCCAAAUUUUGAUAAACAAAAAUGCCAAAAAAAUCCAUGAAUUGCCCAAAAUAAAUUACAUAGCUCAAAUCAACUAAUUUCCAUUUUUCAUGGCUGUAGGAUACCAUCAGCCAGUGCUGAAGGGAUGUUAUCAUAGACAAUCUUUUGAUGGAGAAAAUGGAAGCUU